CAUAAGGGCUCUUCUGGCGGUGGCAUCUGCUGGGGCUUCCAGCUGGGCGGGGGCUCCACGCAACCGCUGACCAUCCAGAAGUAGUUUGGGUGCACCUGGCCCUGCACGGCCUCGCUAACCAUCAAUUCCCCAUCCACUGCAAACACACCUUUCCCAUCCUUGGGCUCCAAGCGGAAGGCGACCACGGGCACAUAUACCAAGUAGGGGCAUUCAUACUCCAUAUGCCUGCCCUUCUCCAUGGCCAGGAAGAGGCGCAGCAGCAUGGCACGAGACACUCCCGCCCGCACGUAGAACAGAUGCAUGACGCCAGCUGCACAGCGGCCCAUGGGUGCAGCAAACAUCUCACUGCCCAGGUGCGAGUGCAGCAGUGCCAGGACUAGCACAAAGUCCUCGUCGGGCACCACUGUCCAGUGAGAGGGCACUGGCUCCUCCAGUGGCACAAGGUGUGCAUCUACCGGGCCCUGCUGGACCACAACGGGGGAGGCAGGUGUCUUGGAACCCACUCUUCCUACAGGGAGGUAGGCCAGUCGGCCGCGGUAGGUGCGCAGGGCUGCCAGACGCAGGAAGGUGCCCAGAGUGAAGCGCAUCUCCCCCAGACGCCGAUACUUCUCACUCUCUAGGUCCACAUCAGCAAUGAAGCCCCAGGCCAGGCUGAGCACAGAGAAGAGGCGCAGCCCCGAAGCCGUGUGCAGAGACAGCAGGUUCAUGGGUGACAGCAGCCGGCGGCACAGCAAUAGCGUGCAGUUGGUCAGGAGGUCUUCAUUGGUGACCUGCUCAUAGC
RNAcentral lists this long non-coding RNA (781 nucleotides) under Homo sapiens (human). RNAcentral describes it as "non-protein coding lnc-UBE2O-1:1". Lineage: Eukaryota; Metazoa; Chordata; Mammalia; Primates; Hominidae. The record is from RNAcentral.